Molecule: non-coding RNA, 1589 nt
Organism: Punica granatum (pomegranate)
Lineage: Eukaryota; Viridiplantae; Streptophyta; Magnoliopsida; Myrtales; Lythraceae
Source: RefSeq, a predicted model, not a curated record
UGCUCUAGUGCGCUUCAUAAUUGUACUAGCGUGCCUUUUUCUUUUGUCACAAUGUAAUCAGUAGAUUGUAAGGCGUGUCGUGUUAUGAUAAUUAAGAAUGAGCUGGAAAACAGUGCAAAGGGCACCAGCGAUGUAUAAAUGUAUGUUCUUUCUUCUUAGUUCAGGGAGGCAGAGCGAGAUUGCAAGAGCUUUAAUAACAUUAGUGUUCAAAAAUCCUCUCGUCUCCCAUGUACCUUUCUUAUCUCAAAACGGUUUGAUAUUGUGAUGAAUGCUAGUAAGUCCUUUUGAGGCAAUUGUGGCAUAGAAGAACCUCCAAUGCCGGUGACAAGCUUGAGGAAGAAGCAGAAGCUUAGUGCACCUUGAAGCUUCAAACCAAGGAGGUCUCUACUGGGCACCCGUACUCUGCAGCCACCAUGCAACCGAAGCUCACGCCCAUACCCUGAAUCUGCGGCAUCUUCCUCAACCUCAUAUUCAACACGCAACAGCGAUAUCAUUUGAGAACAGAUCACCAUCCAUUAAUCACUUGGCACCAUCUUCUUCUUCAGAUCUCUGUAUCAUCUCUCUCUUUCUCUCUCGUUCUCUUUUUCUGGUUUGGGUAGUAACAAACAUAUAGUGGGAAGCUCAUCCAUUCUUCCCCUCACCCCCAAAUUGCUUCGAUCGAGUAUACUGCUGCCACAUUGAAAUUUUCGCCUCUUCAAUGUGCGAUUAACAGAUCUUCUCUACCCAAUUUCAACAAACCGAAAUCAAAUUGUGAGAUUUCCAGCUCAAGAUCUGGAUGGGAAAGGUGGCUGGAAGGAGAAAGGGAGUCUGAGAUGAUCAUGUCCGUGAAUUGGUGAACCAGCUAGAAGAAAAGCAAGGUGGUUGUGAUGACGGUGAGCUGGUGAUGGCGUGUCUGCAAGUGUUCAGAGAGGGAGAGAUGGAGAGAGCCAGCGGGAGAGAGAGAGAGAGAGAGAGAGAGACCAUGGAGUUGGCUACCGCAGAAGUUAGGAGAAGCUUUAAAGCAUCACAAUGGCCGUCACAGGGACGAAAGAAGGGCCACGCGCAGAGGAAGAAGAGGGAUCGAGAUGAUCGGGAAUCCGUGUUAUAGGGGAGUUGGAGCUGGAUAUGGUGAUCUCUGAUGGGUGGCAUGAGGAAGGAGGAGUAGCACGCGGCACAUAGAAGUGGGUGGUGAUGUUGAUCGAGUCAUCCAGAAGAGGAUUGCAGGGCAUGGCCUGAAAGUUGCCUAGGAUCGGUGGAACUGCCGCCUCAGUUCAGCUCACAAUUUGGGGGUUGGUUAAUGGAGUUAUGUCCAACUCAUCCGUCACGUGAAAUUUCCGUCACGGUUGGCACGCACAAGAUGACGACAGGACUAAAACAUCAGACGGAAUGGAGAUUGAGGGACGAAAACAAUGGCAAAAAUUUUUGAGGGACCAAACUCAUGGCUACGGGAUCUUUUAGGGACCAAAAUCACUCCUGACUCAAUUCUCUAUAUGCAUUCAUGUUUCACCCGUCAAGAAAACAUCUUGUCCUUCAAAGCUGGAAAAUACAAUAAUUUGGAGAUCUUUUUGGGUUAGUCUACUAUUAAAAAUUUAAGAGAUAAUCACACUAUA